CAGGGGAGCACUGAGUGGCAGAGAGGGUGCUGCCAGGGUGCACCUAGGCAGCUUGCUGAAAAGGCUUCAGGGCCCUCCUCCUGUACCAUGCCCCCUUUCCCCUCAGGGGGCUCCUCUCCAUGCCUGGACCCCCAAUUCAGAAGUGGUGCAGGCAAACUGGUGUGUCCUGCACAGGGCCGCAUUAAGGGGCCUUUUCGCAUGAGUGGGCCAGCUGCCUGGCUGUGCCCAGCCUGCCCUCGUGCAUGGGAGGGACCGCAAGGGAACAGCAUCCUGGGUGCACCAACCCAAGAAACCAGCUGGUGUGAUGAGAUACAGGAGUCAGGUACAGCCAUGGCAGGCCACGAGACCACCCUCUGGAGGGGUCCCUCCCUCAGCCUGGCAGGCUCAGGCUGCAGUGUGGGCCUGGAAGAGACCCUGCCUUUGCAUCCUCUGGGAGCCUAAGCUCCUCCCUGCAAAGCCUCUCUGACGCCAAAGAACAUUGAGGCCUCAGUUACAGCACACAGCUGGACUUUGUUUUCUGGCUCUGUCCCUCCUCCCACCCUUGUCCAGGAUGUCUCUUGAGCCCCCUGUGCCUGUCCCAGACCCUGGCCCCUUCCCCACUUCCUAUUCCUCAUAUGUGUUUCUCCAGCCAUUCUGGCCUAUCUCACCAGAGGACUCCCCCUGCCAGUUGGGCUUCCAGAACCAUCACAGAUCAACAGACCUGGCCCCCCACUGUGGUCCACCCUGAUAGCUCAAACUGGCCCAUCCACCUUCCUGCAUGGCCAGGGGGCCCACUGAAGUUUUGGGUGCUGUAGGUGGCCCAGCAAGAGGCCCCCUUGGUGAAUUGAUGGCUAGGGUUCUGA
Molecule: long non-coding RNA, 842 nt
Filed under: Marmota monax (woodchuck)
Lineage: Eukaryota; Metazoa; Chordata; Mammalia; Rodentia; Sciuridae
Source: RNAcentral